CACGUAGGGGGCAAGCGUUGUCCGGAUUUAUUGGGCGUAAAGAGCGUGUAGGCGGCCAGACAGGUCAGCUGUGAAGACUCGAGGCUCAACCUCGAGACGUCGGUUGAAACCGUCUGGCUAGAGUCCGGAAGAGGAGAGUGGAAUUCCCGGUGUAGCGGUGAAAUGCGCAGAUAUCGGGAAGAACACCCGUGGCGAAGGCGGCUCUCUGGGACGGUACUGACGCUGAGACGCGAAAGCGUGGGGAGCGAACAGG
This 253-nucleotide ribosomal RNA is filed under the name uncultured bacterium. RNAcentral describes it as "partial 16S ribosomal RNA". It matches the Rfam family "Bacterial small subunit ribosomal RNA", at positions 524 to 776 of the family's 1533-position model. The record is from RNAcentral.